This 465-nucleotide ribosomal RNA is filed under the name uncultured Klebsiella sp. Its description in RNAcentral is "bacterial SSU rRNA". It matches the Rfam family "Bacterial small subunit ribosomal RNA", at positions 338 to 795 of the family's 1533-position model. Lineage: Bacteria; Pseudomonadati; Pseudomonadota; Gammaproteobacteria; Enterobacterales; Enterobacteriaceae. The record is from RNAcentral.
CCUACGGGCGGCUGCAGUGGGGAAUAUUGCACAAUGGGCGCAAGCCUGAUGCAGCCAUGCCGCGUGUGUGAAGAAGGCCUUCGGGUUGUAAAGCACUUUCAGCGGGGAGGAAGGCGUUAAGGUUAAUAACCUUGUCGAUUGACGUUACCCGCAGAAGAAGCACCGGCUAACUCCGUGCCAGCAGCCGCGGUAAUACGGAGGGUGCAAGCGUUAAUCGGAAUUACUGGGCGUAAAGCGCACGCAGGCGGUCUGUCAAGUCGGAUGUGAAAUCCCCGGGCUCAACCUGGGAACUGCAUUCGAAACUGGCAGGCUAGAGUCUUGUAGAGGGGGGUAGAAUUCCGGGUGUAGCGGUGAAAUGCGUAGAGAUCUGGAGGAAUACCGGUGGCGAAGGCGGCCCCCUGGACAAAGACUGACGCUCAGGUGCGAAAGCGUGGGGAGCAAACAGGAUUAGAUACCCCGGUAGUC